This is a long non-coding RNA of Cydia fagiglandana, 347 nucleotides long. RefSeq lists it as uncharacterized. Lineage: Eukaryota; Metazoa; Arthropoda; Insecta; Lepidoptera; Tortricidae. The record is from RefSeq and is a predicted model, not a curated record. The transcript has 2 exons.
CGUACAAGCUGCAAUAGCGCCAUGGCGGCGUCCGACAGAGGAGCAGCCAGGACGCUAUUGCAGACCCCAACAUCAAACAUAUUAUUAUGGCUUGAAAAAGCCAGUUGUAUCCGAGCAGCUUCAUUCCGGACACAUUCCAUUAUAACAUGGUACACGUCUUCUAAUACAUCACAUUCAUCACAAUUGGAAGGAACUUUCUUCAUUAAAUAACCGAAUUUAUUCAAUGGGAUAUGUCCAGAACGUAGUCUCAUCAUCAAUACAAUGUCACGUCUAUUAAGAAAACAAUCAAUCCACGGUGUCAUUAAAGGAUGAGGUUGGAUCGUCUUGUACCAAAUACCCUUCUCUGU